RNAcentral lists this transfer RNA (73 nucleotides) under Puccinia triticina 1-1 BBBD Race 1. Its description in RNAcentral is "tRNA-Pro (AGG) (tRNA-Pro-AGG-2-1, tRNA-Pro-AGG-2-2)". It matches the Rfam family "tRNA". From Rfam's summary of the family: Transfer RNA (tRNA) molecules are approximately 80 nucleotides in length. Their secondary structure includes four short double-helical elements and three loops (D, anti-codon, and T loops). Lineage: Eukaryota; Fungi; Basidiomycota; Pucciniomycetes; Pucciniales; Pucciniaceae. The record is from RNAcentral.
GCGUCUGUAGCCUAGUUGGUAAAGGCAGCACUCUAGGAAGCUGAGGUCGUGAGUUUGACUCUCACCAGACACA